Molecule: ribosomal RNA, 468 nt
Filed under: uncultured bacterium
Lineage: Bacteria
Description: partial 16S ribosomal RNA
Rfam family: Bacterial small subunit ribosomal RNA
Source: RNAcentral
GACGAACGCUGGCGGCGUGCUUAACACAUGCAAGUCGAACGGAAAGGCCCUGCUUUUGUGGGGUGCUCGAGUGGCGAACGGGUGAGUAACACGUGAGUAACCUGCCCUUGACUUUGGGAUAACUUCAGGAAACUGGGGCUAAUACCGGAUAGGAGCUCCUGCUUCAUGGUGGGGGUUGGAAAUUUUCGGCGGUUGGGGAUGGACUCGCGGCUUAUCAGCUUGUUGGUGGGGUAGUGGCUUACCAAGGCUUUGACGGGUAGCCGGCCUGAGAGGGUGACCGGCCACAUUGGGACUGAGAUACGGCCCAGACUCCUACGGGAGGCAGCAGUGGGGAAUAUUGCACAAUGGGCGGAAGCCUGAUGCAGCAACGCCGCGUGCGGGAUGACGGCCUUCGGGUUGUAAACCGCUUUCGCCUGUGACGAAGCGUGAGUGACGGUAAUGGGUAAAGAAGCACCGGCUAACUACGUG